Molecule: ribosomal RNA, 197 nt
Filed under: uncultured bacterium
Lineage: Bacteria
Description: partial 16S ribosomal RNA
Rfam family: Bacterial small subunit ribosomal RNA
Source: RNAcentral
ACGCUCGACACCUACGGGAGCAGCAGUGGGGAAUAUUGCACAAUGGGGGAAACCCUGAUGCAGCAACGCCGCGUGAAGGAAGACGGUUUUCGGAUUGUAAACUUCUGUUCUUAGUGAAGAUAGUGACGGUAGCUAAGGAGCAAGCCACGGCUAACUACGUGCCUGCAGCCGCGGUAAUCUGAGCGGGCUGGCAAGGC